GCGAUGACGCAGGCCCCGACGCCCCCAUUUAAGCCUCUCUGUGGGCGCUCCGAACUCGAACACUGGGAGAGCUCGACGCUUCGCGCCGGGUCGGGACUCGGAUCGGCGCGGCUGGCUCAGCGCCGCUUCCCUGGCCCGUCCGUCCCGCAUCGGACGGUUCGGGUGGCCUCGCCUCGUCGCCCUCGGCGAUGCCCUCGCCGCCCAGCUUCGAGAGCCGCAAUACCGGCCUCGCGAGUGGAUGGAGAGUCGUGGGACCCACUCAAGGC
RNAcentral lists this long non-coding RNA (266 nucleotides) under Musa acuminata (dwarf banana). Its description in RNAcentral is "long non-coding RNA (MACU_LNC002819)". Lineage: Eukaryota; Viridiplantae; Streptophyta; Magnoliopsida; Zingiberales; Musaceae. The record is from RNAcentral.